GCCCGCCUAGCUCAAUCGGAUAGAGCGUCAGACUCUUAUCUGCAUCUGUGGCCAGAGGCGAUCUGAAGGCUGCGAGUUCGACCCUCGCGGUGGCUA
This 96-nucleotide transfer RNA is filed under the name Grifola frondosa (maitake). It matches the Rfam family "tRNA". From Rfam's summary of the family: Transfer RNA (tRNA) molecules are approximately 80 nucleotides in length. Lineage: Eukaryota; Fungi; Basidiomycota; Agaricomycetes; Polyporales; Grifolaceae. The record is from Rfam by way of RNAcentral.